UCCUUUUUCAAAUCAGUGAAAUUAAUCUCCCCGUGAAGAAGCGGGGAUACUCAUAUAAGACGAGAAGACCCCAUGGAGCUUCAAACCCAACUACACCCCUAGCUCUUAUAGCCCCACAACCCCCCUAGGCACCGUGUGCUUGGUUUUAGGUUGGGGCGACCGCGGAGUACAAUAAAACCUCCACAAUGAAUGGGAACACCCCCUUAUCUGAGGGCCACACCCCCUAAGAAUUAGAACACUAACAUAAAAUGAUCCAUUAUUUGAUCAAUGAACCAAGUUACCCUGGGGAUAACAGCGCAAUCCAUUUCAAGAGCCCCUAUCGACAAAUGGGUUUACGACCUCGAUGUUGGAUCAGGGUACCCCAGUGGUGCAGCAGCUACUAACGGUUCGUUUGUUCAACGAUUAAAACCCU
This 412-nucleotide ribosomal RNA is filed under the name Mantidactylus melanopleura. RNAcentral's name for it is "partial 16S ribosomal RNA". It matches the Rfam family "Bacterial large subunit ribosomal RNA", at positions 2021 to 2597 of the family's 2925-position model. The record is from RNAcentral. Lineage: Eukaryota; Metazoa; Chordata; Amphibia; Anura; Mantellidae.